Molecule: ribosomal RNA, 441 nt
Filed under: uncultured bacterium
Lineage: Bacteria
Description: partial 16S ribosomal RNA
Rfam family: Bacterial small subunit ribosomal RNA
Source: RNAcentral
CCUACGGGUGGCAGCAGUGGGGGAUAUUGCACAAUGGGGGGAACCCUGAUGCAGCGACGCCGCGUGGGUGAAGGAGGGCUUCGGCAUGUAAAGCCCUAUCGGCAGGGAAGAAGCAAGACGGUACCUGACUAAGAAGCCCCGGCGAACUACGUGCCAGCAGCCGCGGUAAUAAGUAGGGGGCGAGCGUUAACCGGAUUCACGGGGUGUAAAGGGAGCGUAGACGGCCAUGCAAGCCAGGGGUGAAAGCCCGGGGCCCAACCCCGGGAAUGACCUUGAAACUGUGCGGCUAGAGUGCGCGAGGGGCAGGCGGAAUUCCUGUUGUAGCGGUGAAAUGCGUAGAUAUCAGGAGGAACACCGGCGGCGAAGGCGGCCUGCUGGACUGCGACUGACGUUGAGGCUCGAAAGCGUGGGGAGCGAACAGGAUUAGAUACCCUGGUAGUC